Molecule: ribosomal RNA, 475 nt
Filed under: uncultured bacterium
Lineage: Bacteria
Description: bacterial SSU rRNA
Rfam family: Bacterial small subunit ribosomal RNA
Source: RNAcentral
UGGGGAAUCUUGGACAAUGGGGGCAACCCUGAUCCAGCCAUGCCGCGUGAGUGAUGAAGGCCUUAGGGUCGUAAAGCUCUUUCGCCUGUGAAGAUAAUGACGGUAGCAGGUAAAGAAACCCCGGCUAACUCCGUGCCAGCAGCCGCGGUAAUACGGAGGGGGCUAGCGUUGUUCGGAAUUACUGGGCGUAAAGCGCGCGUAGGCGGACUGAUCAGUCAGGGGUGAAAUCCCGGGGCUCAACCCCGGAACUGCCUCCAAAACUAUCGGUCUAGAGUUCGAGAGAGGUGAGUGGAAUUCCGAGUGUAGAGGUGAAAUUCGUAGAUAUUCGGAGGAACACCAGUGGCGAAGGCGGCUCACUGGCUCGAUACUGACGCUGAGGUGCGAAAAGUGUGGGGAGCAAAACAGGAUUAGAUACCCUGGUAGUCCACACCGUAAAACGAUGAAAUGCCAGUCGUCGGGUAGCAUGCUAUUCGGU